CCUACGGGGGGCUGCAGUGGGGAAUAUUGGACAAUGGGGGGAACCCUGAUCCAGCCAUGCCGCGUGUGUGAAGAAGGCCCUCGGGUUGUAAAGCACUUUCAGUGAGGAAGAACGCCUGGUGGUUAAUACCCAUCAGGAAAGACAUCACUCACAGAAGAAGCACCGGCUAACUCCGUGCCAGCAGCCGCGGUAAUACGGAGGGUGCGAGCGUUAAUCGGAAUUACUGGGCGUAAAGCGCGCGUAGGUGUCUUGAUAAGCCGGUUGUGAAAGCCCCGGGCUCAACCUGGGAACGGCAUCCGGAACUGUCAAGCUAGAGUGCAGGAGAGGAAGGUAGAAUUCCCGGUGUAGCGGUGAAAUGCGUAGAGAUCGGGAGGAAUACCAGUGGCGAAGGCGGCCUUCUGGACUGACACUGACACUGAGGUGCGAAAGCGUGGGUAGCAAACAGGAUUAGAUACCCUGGUAGUC
Molecule: ribosomal RNA, 465 nt
Filed under: Vreelandella stevensii
Lineage: Bacteria; Pseudomonadati; Pseudomonadota; Gammaproteobacteria; Oceanospirillales; Halomonadaceae
Description: partial 16S ribosomal RNA
Rfam family: Bacterial small subunit ribosomal RNA
Source: RNAcentral